This 73-nucleotide transfer RNA is filed under the name Wolbachia endosymbiont of Cruorifilaria tuberocauda. RNAcentral describes it as "tRNA-Lys". It matches the Rfam family "tRNA". Rfam says of the family: Transfer RNA (tRNA) molecules are approximately 80 nucleotides in length. Their secondary structure includes four short double-helical elements and three loops (D, anti-codon, and T loops). Lineage: Bacteria; Pseudomonadati; Pseudomonadota; Alphaproteobacteria; Rickettsiales; Anaplasmataceae. The record is from RNAcentral.
GAUCCCGUAGCUCAGCUGGUAGAGCAACUGACUUUUAAUCAGUAGGUCGCGCGUUCGAUUCGCGCCGGGAUCA